GACGAACGCUGGCGGCGCGCUUAACACAUGCAAGUCGAGCGAGAAUCAGAGCUUCGGCUCUGAGGACAGCGGCGAACGGGUGAGUAACACGUGGGUAAUCUGCCCUCGAUUCUGGGAUAGCCCGGGGAAACUCGGAUUAAUACCGGAUAGCCUUUCGUGCUUUCGGGCGUGAAAGAAAAGGUAGCUUCGGCCUCCGAUCGAGGAUGAGCCCGCGGUGGAUUAGCUUGUUGGCGGGGUAAUGGCCCACCAAGGCGACGAUCCAUAGCUGGUCUGAGAGGACGAUCAGCCACACUGGGACUGAGACACGGCCCAGACUCCUACGGGAGGCAGCAGUGGGGAAUCUUGCGCAAUGGGCGAAAGCCUGACGCAGCGACGCCGCGUGCGGGAUGAAGGUCUU
This 397-nucleotide ribosomal RNA is filed under the name uncultured bacterium. Its description in RNAcentral is "bacterial SSU rRNA". It matches the Rfam family "Bacterial small subunit ribosomal RNA", at positions 28 to 418 of the family's 1533-position model. The record is from RNAcentral.